CUCUCAUACGAGCUCCUGGCGGUUCAUUCAUUUGACCAUAGACUAGAGCCACUUUGG
This 57-nucleotide transfer RNA is filed under the name Anathallis obovata. RNAcentral's name for it is "tRNA-Cys". RNAcentral also lists the same sequence under 2 other names. The record is from RNAcentral. Lineage: Eukaryota; Viridiplantae; Streptophyta; Magnoliopsida; Asparagales; Orchidaceae.